UAUGUGGUUAUUUGAAUCAAA
Non-coding RNA from Caenorhabditis elegans, 21 nucleotides. The record is from Ensembl. Lineage: Eukaryota; Metazoa; Nematoda; Chromadorea; Rhabditida; Rhabditidae.